This 315-nucleotide long non-coding RNA is filed under the name Laticauda laticaudata (blue-ringed sea krait). RNAcentral describes it as "lncRNA (ENSLLTG00000002871.1)". The record is from RNAcentral. Lineage: Eukaryota; Metazoa; Chordata; Lepidosauria; Squamata; Elapidae.
CUUCGUCACCCGGUCUCUGCUCCCCUCCCCACCCCCCGAAUUCUUGACGGGCAUCGGGAACGGGACGGGGAAGGAAGGAGACCGAAGUGGCUGGGAAAGGAGGGCAAUCCGCAGUCAACCCAGAGACUGAAACGCCGUGGGAGUGAUUUGCAGCGUCCUGCCCCGCCGCCGCUAUCCACUCAUUUUCCAGAUGUCUACACUCCACAUAUGGUAGGAUUAUGGAAUACCAGCAUAUCAAGAGAGAAGCAACUUAGUGAUACCAACAGGGGAAGCAAGUUUGGAUUGGGAUGUAUUCCAAACAAUCUCUGACAGCAG